UACGAAGGGGGCUAGCGUUGCUCGGAAUGACUGGGCGUAAAGGGCGCGUAGGCGGAUGGCACAGUCAGAUGUGAAAUUCCCGGGCUUAACCUGGGGGCUGCAUUUGAUACGUGUGAUCUAGAGUGAGGAAGAGGGUCGUGGAAUUCCCAGUGUAGAGGUGAAAUUCGUAGAUAUUGGGAAGAACACCGGUGGCGAAGGCGGCGACCUGGUCCUUGACUGACGCUGAGGCGCGAAAGCGUGGGGAUCAAACAGG
This 253-nucleotide ribosomal RNA is filed under the name uncultured bacterium. Its description in RNAcentral is "partial 16S ribosomal RNA". It matches the Rfam family "Bacterial small subunit ribosomal RNA", at positions 524 to 776 of the family's 1533-position model. The record is from RNAcentral.